CGUUUGCGUGAGGGAUGGAAGAGGAGCUCUCCCGAUUUUUUAUCGGGAAGCGGGAACGUACAGCCCGACCUCGU
This 74-nucleotide unclassified non-coding RNA is filed under the name Flavobacterium flevense. RNAcentral's name for it is "Flavo-1 RNA". The record is from RNAcentral. Lineage: Bacteria; Pseudomonadati; Bacteroidota; Flavobacteriia; Flavobacteriales; Flavobacteriaceae.